Molecule: ribosomal RNA, 44 nt
Filed under: Amandinea lignicola
Lineage: Eukaryota; Fungi; Ascomycota; Lecanoromycetes; Caliciales; Caliciaceae
Description: partial 28S ribosomal RNA
Source: RNAcentral
UUGACCUCNGAUCANGUAGGGAUACCCGCUGAACUUAAGCAUAU